This 76-nucleotide transfer RNA is filed under the name Pseudodesulfovibrio piezophilus C1TLV30. RNAcentral describes it as "tRNA-Ala (CGC) (tRNA-Ala-CGC-1-1)". It matches the Rfam family "tRNA". From Rfam's summary of the family: Transfer RNA (tRNA) molecules are approximately 80 nucleotides in length. RNAcentral also lists the same sequence under 3 other names. The record is from RNAcentral. Lineage: Bacteria; Pseudomonadati; Thermodesulfobacteriota; Desulfovibrionia; Desulfovibrionales; Desulfovibrionaceae.
GGGGACGUAGCUCAGCUGGGAGAGCGCUGCCUUCGCAAGGCAGAAGUCGAGAGUUCAAAUCUCUUCGUCUCCACCA